UACGAGGGGGGCAAGCGUUGUUCGGAAUUAUUGGGCGUAAAGGGCGCGUAGGCGGUGCGGUAAGUCACCUGUGAAAACUCUGGGCUCAACUCAGAGCCUGCAGGCGAAACUGCCGUGCUGGAGUGUGGGAGAGGUGCGUGGAAUUCCCGGUGUAGCGGUGAAAUGCGUAGAUAUCAGGAAGAACACCCGUGGCUAAGGCGGCUCUCUAGUACGGUACUGACGCUGAGACGCGAAAGCGUGGGGAGCGAACAGG
Molecule: ribosomal RNA, 253 nt
Filed under: uncultured bacterium
Lineage: Bacteria
Description: partial 16S ribosomal RNA
Rfam family: Bacterial small subunit ribosomal RNA
Source: RNAcentral